RNAcentral lists this ribosomal RNA (489 nucleotides) under uncultured fungus. Its description in RNAcentral is "eukaryotic LSU rRNA". The stretch from base 166 to 319 matches the Rfam family "5.8S ribosomal RNA". Lineage: Eukaryota; Fungi. The record is from RNAcentral.
CUUGGUCAUUUAGAGGAAGUAAAAGUCGUAACAAGGUUUCCGUAGGUGAACCUGCGGAAGGAUCAUUAACAAAUCCGUGCGGGCGCAUGCGUCCGACACACGUGCCGCGUGCUCUGCGCGCGCGUUACAUUGCAUGAUUUCUGACUGAUCUGCGCGAAACGAAACAACUUUUAACAAUGGAUCUCUAGGCUCUUGCAUCGAUGAAGAACGCAGCAAAGUGCGAAACGUAGUGCGAUUUGCAUGCCCUGUGAGUCAUCGAGUCUUUGAACGCAUAUGGCGCCUCCAGGCCCUGCCCGGAGGCAUGUCUGUUUGAGAAUCAUUCCGCACCACAAUUGGGCCUACACCAGUGUUUGCCCGAAAGCCAGCCGCGCCGUCGUGGGUUAAGUGUGCAUAGCGCUGCUGGACGACGUGACGGCGCAACCCCGUUGAUUGAUGGUCUCAAAUCAGACAAGAGUACCCGCCGAACUUAAGCAUAUCAAUAAGCGGAGG